This 46-nucleotide non-coding RNA is filed under the name Trichobilharzia regenti. Lineage: Eukaryota; Metazoa; Platyhelminthes; Trematoda; Strigeidida; Schistosomatidae. The record is from RNAcentral.
GCACUACUGAAGAGUCCCAGGUCAAAACGAAACAGCUGUCCAGUAC